CUAUCUCAAUAUCAUUGAAAACUCCUUUCAAUGGGUUGGAAUGAUUCCAACUCAACUCGUUAGGGUUUAUCGAUCAUCAAGAUAAUCCCUAUGAGUCCCACCAUCCACCAGUGACACCUAGCAGCAUGUAGUGGCUACCCAGCAGAAUGGAAUGAUGAACCUCUAGGUGCAGUUAACAUGUGAUACAGUCCUACUAUCGUGGAUCCCUACAGGACGGAGGUCAUGGAUAACUCGUCAAACCCCAUCGUCU
Molecule: long non-coding RNA, 250 nt
Filed under: Phoenix dactylifera (date palm)
Lineage: Eukaryota; Viridiplantae; Streptophyta; Magnoliopsida; Arecales; Arecaceae
Description: long non-coding RNA (PDAC_LNC011326)
Source: RNAcentral